Molecule: long non-coding RNA, 11197 nt
Filed under: Triticum aestivum (bread wheat)
Lineage: Eukaryota; Viridiplantae; Streptophyta; Magnoliopsida; Poales; Poaceae
Description: long non-coding RNA (TAES_LNC022778)
Source: RNAcentral
CUGACUUCUGCUGGAGAACCAAGGUAGUAACUGAAGAAUUGUACUAGUUAACAAGACUCAGGUGGCGGGUGGCUCUGGAAUGUGCAAAGGGCCCUUGUUGUGUUUCAGAGACGAUGAGAUCUACAUAGUGAGCUUAUGGAUACUUCUUUUAAACUUUAGACCUUUAGUGUGGGUUCUGUAGAACUGUGAAACCAUUAUCUGUGUGCACUGUGGUUUGGAUGAUCUGUAGAACUGUGAAACCAUUAUCUAUGUGCACUGUUGUUUGAAUGGCUCGAGGUAACGGGCCUGCUGUCACUGUCAUAAUGCUUACUGCAAAUUAUGUUGAUACCCUGAGGAAUUAUCUCAGCUAAACGAGAUACUCGAUCGCAUCCAGAGCUUAUCAAUCUCGGACAGUCAGACCUCGGUUUAUGACAAGAUCAGACUUAAAGCCGACGAUCGGGAAAUUUACGUCCCACCCGCCACCCACCUAGUCGCCACAGUCGACGAUUUAACCGGCGUGUUAGACUACGCGGAGGCUACCGACAUGGAUGAAGAUGUCGACGGCCCUCCAGAAACCACUACGCCGUUGGUCAACACCGGCAAGUGGACCGCAACAUCUACUUAUGAUGUACAGGUGAAAAGUGUACAUCUAGAAAUUUUAAGACAAAUUAUGGAGUGGAGUAAAAAAAUGCAUUGGGAAAUUGCAAGCCACCAUCUCUCUCCUCUUUAAUUACCCAACCCCCAAUGAGCUAAGUGCAUAUAGCAAUUAAUAAGACUAUGUAUAGAAUGCUAUUGGUCUUGAUUACCGUGUGAGAAAAUACUUUAAAGUGCAUUGGGAAGAUAGAAGUAUACUCUUUUGUGGACAAAUUUUAAAUAUGAACUUACAUUCUUCAGCGGACAGAGGGAGUAUACAUGGUAGAUACUCCCAAGAACCCGUCAAGACGUCGGUGAAGGCACGAGAGAGAUACCAACCGGGACCCCGGUAGGCCCGACACCACUACCAACAACGGUGCGGUAGCUGAUGAGGCCGACAAUCUAGAGGAGGAUUUUCAAGCCUCCUCAGGGCAACAACACAGUCCCGCAGGAAUCCCCGAGGACGAAGGAUUACCUCUUUGAAGGGGCUGACGACAAUUACUUACCUUUGUCCGAGGAGGACGAGAGUAGGGUUUCGGUGACCGCCUCCAGGGGUUGCCAUUUGUAAGGGUUCGGUGACCGUGCUCAAGGGUCCCUUAGUGGAAUAACGACAUCUUGCAUUGUGCGAGGGCGUGAGGAGAUUACGGUGGCCCUAGUGGCAUUUUGGGGAGCAUUGUGCCUCCACACAGCAAAAAACGAAGAUUAGCAUCCGCAAGGGUGUGAACUUCGGGAUACAUCGUCGUCUCUGUGUGCCUCGAUUAUCUCUUACCCGAGCCAUUACUUAUGCACUUUACUUUGUGAUAGCCAUAGUGUUUCAUGUUAUAUAUCUUGCUAUCACUUAGUUGUUUAUAUUGCUUAUCAUAAGUUGUUCAUGCACAUAGGUGAACCUAGUUGUAUUAGGUCAUGUGCUUGACAAAUUAAAUGCUAGUUUAUUCUGCAUUUGUUAAACUCUAAACCGUAAUUAUUUUAUUCACAACCCCCCUCUAGGGGACAUCCACGAUCUUUCAGCCACCCGAUGUUCCUCUUGUACGUGCAGAUACCAUUAGAGGUGGUACAUUUGUGCUGCUUCAGCAAAUUUGUUCGAGGGAUCAGACUACUGAGUUAACUGAGGGAGAUCAGCGACGAGGAGGAGAGAACUCCGACGAUGCGCUACUGUGACGCCCCCGAUUCAACCGUACACUAAUUAUACACGUAAAUGUGUAUGAUCAAGAUUAGGGACUCACGGGAAGAUAUCACAACACAACUCUAGACACAAAAAAAGAAAUAAAACAAGCUUCAUAUUACAAGCCAGGGGCCUCGAAGGCUCGAAUACAAGCUCGAUACACAAGAGUCAGCGGAAGCAACAAAUAUCUGAGUACAGACAUAAGUUAAACAAGGAUGCCUUAAAAGGCAAACACAAAAACAACAACGAUCGAAGAGGCAAGGCCUCCUGCCUGGGACCUCCUAACUACUCCUGAUCUUCGGUGGCCUCCAUGUAGUAGUAUCCGUUGGUGGUGGCAUCUGGCUCCUGGGAUCCACCAUCUGGUUGCAACAACCGGAAAGAAGAAAGAAGGGGGGGGGGAAGGGAUAGCAAAGCAACCGUGAGUACUCAUCCAAAGUACUCGCAAGCAUCAGAUCUAUACUAAGUAUGCAUUGGUAUCAAACGGAAGGACUGUAUCAGUGGACUGAACUGCAGAAUGACAGAAUAGAGGGGAAGGCCUAGCCUAUCAAAGACUAGCAUCUUCAAGCAGCUCCAAGCAUCUUGCAGCAUGUAGAAGAGUAAAGAAUAGCAGUUUAUAUUUAACAAACAUGUUGUAGCAUUAAUGGCCAGAGAUCCUUCCUCGACUCCCUGCGAGAAAGCAAUCCCGGGGCCACAUAUCUCAAGUAUCCAUUUCUAGUUGUAAAAGAUUAGGAUAUAAGUCUGAACGUCCAUUACUGUGGACACGGCUAUUAAUAGAUAAUCUUCCCUGCAGGGGUGCACCAUGUUUUCCAACAGGCUUGAUUACUCUGGCCGGAUACACUUUUCUGGGUCAAUGCCCGGCCUCGGAAGAUCAACAUGUCGUAGCCCUACCUAAGCUCAGCAGAGAGGUCCCCGUCGGUCUACAUCCUAAGCACUCUGGGGUCUGGGCCCAUCGCCCGUUGCGCUCCGGGUCGUCGCGCGCAGGGCGAUCCAGGCCACCUCCAUUGGGGCGCCGACCAGGCCGUGCCACAAUGCUGAACUGGACGUCUGACAAAGCUUCGGUUGAUACUACGUCGUCGAGGCCCAUAACUAUUCUCGCGUGGUGGUUAGUGCGUAAAGGACAAAGGCCAACUCAGAACAAAUACCCAAACCAUAGUGUAUUAUUAGCUUACGGAGACGAGCAGAGACUCACGAUCGAUGUGACCUCGUCGCCCUGUCUCGGGGACUUACGGCAAGGGCCCAGAAUGCCCGAUCGUGCCACAUAAUGUAACGCCCUGAGACCGAUGUGCCAGGUGUCCUCCAGUUAUUCGCUGUUGUUGCCUUGUCAUGUGCUUGCGUGUCAUGCAUUGCAUACCAUCUCAUCAUGUGCAUUGCAUACCAUCUCAUCAUGUGCAUUGCAUCAUCAUGUUUUCAAAACCUGCAUUCAUCCGGGUUCCCCCGUUCCUUCCGUUGUCCGUUUUGAGUCCAACCACACUUACCCGAGCCCGCGGCACGUCCAAAAUAUUAUUUUAUAAGUGGCCGGAAAAUGUUCUCGGAAUGGGAUGAAAGUUGGCGUGCGGUGUUUUUAUGUUGUAGGUAGGCCGCCUGUCAAUUUUCGUCGCAUUCGGAGUUCGUUUGACGCCCCAACGGAUAACUAUAGCGGCAAUAUAGUCGGUCUAACGUCGGACGUUUUCGGUCUCCGAAAACAAUCGUCGGGCCUCACUCUCUUCUCUUCUCUCAGCUCGAUACCGUCUACACAGCCCACUACCUACCGCCAGGUCCAACCUAACUUCUCUCGUUAGCUCGCGGCCCUCCUCGCGCGCGCGUCCGAUAGUUGUCCCGAACCCGACUCGGACUUUCGUCACCGUUGGAUUCGGUUCAUCCCCAAACAUCCUUAAAACAUCUCCCUUUUCUUAUUUGGACUCCCUAUCUAUCUAUUUCUCGACCGUCCGAUUAUGAUCGUAAGGACGAGAUAUCCCUAACUUAAUCCCACUGCUAUAUAUAUAAACCAUCCUACCAUAACCUAACCCUAGACCAACUCCCUCAUUUUCCUCACCCCGCCGCCACUCUCCCCAUCGGGAUCCAAAACCGGCCAACCACCUCCCUCCUCUUUCAGCCACCUUCCAAAUCCAUCGAGCCAUCCAGCCAUGCGUCUUGCUCCUCCUCGAUCCCCUCGCGCCCAUGGAGCCCGAGCCCCUCAAGCAAAAACCGACCUCGACCUGGCCGACCGGAGCACCAGGUCAUGCUGCAGCUCCCCGUCGCCUCCCUCUCCUCCCUUUCCCCCUCCCUAUUUCCCUCUCUCAGCUCUCUCCCUUAUCUUAUUCACAGGAACAGGGGACGCCAUGAAAGAAACUACCUACUCCUUGUUGACCGCCUCGUCCCGGAGUAGCUCGCCGGCAUUCUUCGUUGUCCUGGAGCGUCCGCCACAAAGACCGGCCGGAUCCAUGCGCUGCCUCGACUCCAACCUGUCGAAGUCGCUUCGCCGUUGGGCGAACCCUCUGCCUCGUAUUCUGCGGCGUCGAGCACCAGCAGCUCGAUCGUUCACAUUGACCGAGCCACGCGCCUGGGUCAGCGCCGCCGACAUGAGCCCUGCAGGUCGCCGUGUGCCCUUGAUUCUCCCUUCUCGUUUCUCCUGUACUUCCCUAGCUCUCUCUCACACUAUCUGUCUCUCUCUGUGUCCCUUUCUUCACAGCACGUCGCCAUGGCCGACCCUGCCAAGCUCCAGCCCGCCGGCCACCAUCUCCUGUCAUACCCGCCUGGUCCCGGACGUCUUCGUCGACCGCCGGCCAUCCCUGCUCGCCUUGCGCGUCGCUGCCGUCGCCUUCGUGCCGCAACCCAAACGCUGUUCCGCGCCGCGCUGGCUCCUUCUGUCGGGAGCAGACAGAGGAAGCCGCCCCUGCCCGUUGACUUCCCACGCCCGCGUGUGCGCAAGGGCCUCAAGGCUAGGGGCGCCCAGCUCCUUCCGCUCACCCAGCCAACCAAGGGCCAGCAUCGCCAUGGUCGCCGGCCUCUAUUUUUCCCGCUGUGAGCAACUUCCUCCAUUACUGUAGCUUCGUUCUUUUCCUAGAUCCGUUCUGGCAUGUAGAGGUUAUUUAGAGUUGCCACUAAGUUUUACCACAAGCAUAUCAACUAGCCCAGUGGCUAGCGCAACAUCUAUCCAUCCCAGGGGUCCAGGGUUUGUGUCCUGGCCGGCCCCAUUUUUUGCUAGGUUUUCCUAUUAUUUUGCACUCCCACUGUUGGGCCAACCAGAUCCGGCCCGAGAUGUAUUUUUUUUCCGCAGAAGGUUUUAGCUAUUUUCCUGAGUACUACCCGUUUUGCAGAAUAGUCCCUAGAGUUCAUGCAUUUAAUAACUCACAAAUGGUGCAUCGGUUUAAAACAAUUUAAAUAUGUAAAAUGCUUAGAAUUUAAUAUAGUUUCAUAAUAUGUCAUUUUCACCCAUGUUUAAAAUGUUUAAAAUGUUGUUUGUGUAACUUUGUCCAUAUGCCAUGCUAAAAUGGUUUAAUUCAUAACUAAAUAACCGUAACUCGGAAUUUAAUAAUCUUUAUAUGUAAAUGGGGUAGAAUUUUGCAUAGUUUAACAUGGUGGCAUCACUUUGCAUGUUCAACAACUAUAAAAUAUGGUUUAGGGCAGAACAGUACCGAACCUAAUAUAUGCAUAUGGGGAUUACCGGAAUUGUUGUUCAUUGCUUCCGGCCUCAUUUAACCUUGACUAGAUAGGUAGUUUUGCUUUGCUUCACCCUCUUGCCAUGUUUAACAACAUUUAAUAUUGUUGGGUACAUAACCAAGAUCGAACUUAAUAAGUCAUGUGGUGUUUCGUCAAUAUGCAUUGCAUAUUGAGCUCCACUUAAUUUGUAGUAUUGCUUGUGCACUUUGCCAUGCCAUGCUUCAUUAAGCCGGACAUGCAUCAUACUUGAUUGUGCAUCAUGCCAUGUUUAUGUGGUGGUUGUUUUACUAUGAUUGUUUGCUUCUUUCCGGUGUUUGCUUCUUCGGGUUGGUUUCGGUAACGUCGCGUUUGUGAGGACCCGUUUGUCUACGUCCGUUUGUCUUCUUCAUGGACUCGUUCUUCUUCCUUGCGGGAUUUCAGGCAAGAUAAUCAUACCCUCGAAAUCACUUCUAUCUUUGCUUGCUAGAUGCUCGCUCUUUUCCUAUGCUGCGAUACCUACCACUUUCUUAUCAUGCCUCCUAUAUUGUUGAACCAAGCCUCUAACCCACCUUGUCCUAGCAAACCGUUGAUUGGCUAUGUUACCGCUUUGCUCAGCCCCUCUUAUAGCGUUGUUAGUUGCAGGUGAAGAUUGAAGUUUGUUCCUUGUUGGAACAUGGAGAUGUUGUUCCUUGUUGGAACAUGGUUACUUGUUGGGAUAUCAUGAUAUAUCUUAUUUAAUUAAUGCAUCUAUAUACUUGGUAAAGGGUGGAAGGCUCGGCCUUAUGCCUGGUGUUUUGUUCCACUCUUGCCGCCCUAGUUUUCCGUCAUAUCGGUGUUAUGUCCCCAGAUUUUGCGUUCCUUACGCGGUUGGGUAAUAAUGGGAACCCCUUGACAGUUCGCCUUGAAUAAAACUCCUCCAGCAAGGCCCAACCUUGGUUUUACCAUUUGCCACCUAGCCUUUUCUUUCCCUUGGGUUAGGCCAGCCCAAGGGUCAUCUUUAUUUUAACCCCCCGGGCCAGUGCUCCUCUGAGUGUUGGUCCAACUGAGCGAUGUCCGGAGCUACCAGGGGCAACUCUGGGCUGGCCCACCUGGCGUCUUGCUCAUCCGGUGUGCCUUGAGAACGAGAUAUGUGCAGCUCCUAUCAGGAUUUGUCUGCACAUCUGGGUGGCUUUGCUGGACUUGUUUUACCAUUGUCGAGGAUGUCUUGUAGAACCGGGAUACCGAGUCUGAUCGGAAUGUCUCGGGAGGAGGAAUAUCCUUUGUUGACCGUGAGAGCUUGUGGUGGGCUAAGUUGGGACACCCCUGCAGGGAUUUGAACUUUCGGAAGCCGUGCCCGCGGUUAUGGGCAGAUGGGAAUUUGUUAACGUCCGGUUGUAGAAAACCUGAAGUUGACCUUAAUUAAAAUGUAUCAACCAUGUGUGUAACCGUGAUGGUCUCUUUCCGGCGGAGUCCGGGAAGUGAACAUGGUGUUGGAGUUAUGCUUGAUGUAGGUUGUUUUAGGAUCACUUCUUGAUCAUACUUUUAUCGAACGUGCUUUGCCUUCUCUCCUCGCUCUCAUUUGCGUAUGUCAGCCACCAUAUAUGCUAGUCUCUUGCCGCAGCUCCACCUCAUACUUUUACCUUACCCAUAAGCUUAAAUAGUCUUGAUCGCGAGGGUGCGAGAUUGCUGAGUCCCCGUGGCUCACAGAUACUUCCAAAACCAGCUUGCAGGUGUCGUUGAACCAUGCAAAUGAUGCAACCAAGCUCAAGGAGGAGCUCGAUGCAGAUCUUGUCCUUUGUGUUGUCCCAUUUCCAGUUGAUCAGUAGUUCUGCCCAGUUGGGGUGAUCGGGACCGUGUCGCAUGUUGGGUUAUCUUUUAUUUUGGCGUCGUAGUCGGGCCAUGAGUGUUUGAAUGAUGUAAUGUUAUUUAUGUACUUGAUUGACGUGGCGAGUGUAAGCCAACUAUGUUAUCUCCCCUUUUAUUAUCUAUAUAUUACAUGGGAUGUUGUGAAGAUUGCCUAACUUGCGACAUAUGCCUUUAAUGCGAUUAUGUCUCUAAGUCGUGCCUCGACACGUGGGAGCUAUAGUCGCAUCGAGGGUGUUACAAGUUGGUAUCAGAGCCAGGUUGAUCCUGGGACCUGUGGGUUAUGGGCCCACUCAAAGAAACACCGUUGAACGAUUCAAAAGAGAGAAAGCACCGGUUGAAUUAAAUGACUUGAAUGAGGGAACAUCCACGAAAUAGGUUGAACGGAUCUUGGAUGACAAGGCGAGCCUUCUGAGAUAUCUUCAGGGCACGGGAACAAAUGAAUAUCAAGAAAUGAAUUAUUAAGAGGUGCACCGGCAUGAGAAAAGCAUUUGAAAUACAGAGAAGAAUAUUUUCGACACCGAGAGCUUGAAUAGAAUCCACCGGAGAAGAAAACGAGUGAAAAGUGACGAACUUGAAGCUCCGUUAGAAUCUUCAUGGGAAUCACCAGAUAAGGACAUUGAAGGAAAAAAAUGAAGAGACUUCACAUCAAUAAGAUGGAUACUCGAUUAAGAAGUCUGAGUCCUUAAAGAAAAACAAGGGAGGGAGGGCGGGAAAAACAAAGACAAUUUGGAAUGGAUGAAACGAACACCGUUGAGAAGAAGUGAUAAUUGGUCUUGCGAAUGUUGAAGUGAACGGAUCCACUUGAGGAGAAGCACACCGGUUGAGAAGAGGACUGACAUGACAAUCUCGAUUAUCAAGAAGGAUUAGUAUUCGCAUCGGAGUAUGAGAACACCAUUUGGGGAAGGUAUGGAAUCAAACACUUGACAUCGAAGCAACUCGAAUAUCACAACUCAAAACAAAACAAAGGAUUGACUUGCAAAAUAAGCCGGAACAAACAUAUGAUAGAGAUUUCGUCCGAAGUUUCCGUGGUGGGGCCUACACGGGCUCGAUCGUACAGCACCAUCAUGUACAAGGCAGUGCACAUGACAUACGAAGCGUCCCCGAGUUGGCAUAGCCAAGGACUCUUUAAGACACAACGAGACCACUGUAAAACCGACCGUGAAUAGGCAGACCACUAGACGUCGAACCCCAAUUUCGUAUCAUACAUCUGUCGGAAAGAUAUACUAAGAGCUACUUGAAUUCCCACCUAUGAACUCCCGAAAUUUUCCGGUUAUGCAAUCAGGUGUUGGGGAUACAGGGGAAGCAUAAUAUCUCACCCAAACUAACAAAUCCUACAUCCAGCUGUAUCCAUCCUUCAACACAUAACCAAGAAACCUUCGGAAAUCAUCUACCUCAACCUUCGAAAAGCAUCCGUUAUACAGGUUAUGGCGAUACUCCCGAACUCCCGCCCCAGUACUGGGUGGCGUCGAGGUUAUCUCACCAACGAACUGCAUAAAAGAGAUUUUCGAUGUCGGCGUACUAGACUCAGGUAUUUCAGAACUACAACGAUAAAAUUAUGACGACAACACCUCAGAGCUCAACUCCCCGGGACACUUCCACAAAACCCCUGACAGGAGGCACCAAGACAAUGUUCUCGUCAUAAAACCAUCGGAACGAUUCCAAGAUACCCGCGUGAUCCUAAAUUUUUUUUAGUGAAAUUUGAGAAGAGAAGAGUCAAAACUCUACGUCAGGAUGUCUUACCAGAGCGAUGAGGAGACUGAGAAGUAAAAAGAAUUCCUAAACUCUCCUAUAUAUAAUUCCUAAAUGACUCAAAACAUUUUUCUAGACACAACUCGGCUGCUAAAAACGAUCAAGCAAUGGGGCUCCUAAGGUCGGGGAAGGCUUUGAUACCAACUUGUAAUGCCCUCGAUGCGGCUAUAUCUCCCACGUGUCGAAGCACGACUUAGAGGCAUAACCGCAUUGAAAGCAAUGUCACAAGUGAGGUAAUCUUCACACAACCCAUGUAACACAUAAGGGAAAGAGAUACAUAGUUGGCUUACACUCGCCACUUCACACAAUUACAUGAAUAAAGCAUUACAACAUCCAAAUACAAUCAAGGUCCGACUACGGAACCAAAAUAAAAGAAGAACCCCAACUGCGACAUGGUCCCCGAUCGACCCCAACUGGGCUCCAGUACUGAUCAACUAGAACGGAACAACACAAAGCGACAAGAUCUUCAUCGAGCUCCUCCUUGAGCUUGGUUGCGUCAUCUUCACGGACUCAUCGACACCUGCAAGCUGGUUUUGGAAGUAUCUGUGAGCCAUGGGGACUCAGCAAUCUCACACCCUCGCGAUCAAGACUAUUUAAGCUUAUGGGUAAGGUAAAGGUAUGAGGUGGAGCUGCAGCAAGCGACUAGCAUAUAUGGUGGCUAACAUACGCAAAUGAGAGCGAGAAGAGAAGGCAAAGCACGAUCGAUAAAAGUAUGAUCAAGAAGUGAUCCUAAAACAACCUACGUCAAGCAUAACUCCAACACCGUGUUCACUUCCCGGACCCUACCGGAAAGAGACCAUCACGGUUACACACGCAGUUGACUCAUUUUACUUAAGUUAAGGUUCAAGUUAUCUACAACCGGACAUUAACAAAUUCCCAUCUGCCCAUAACCGCGGGCACGGCUUUCGAAAGUUCAAUCCCUGCAGGGGUGUCCCAACUUAGCCCAUCACAAGCUCUCACGGUCAACGAAGGAAAUAGACCUCCUCCCGAGACAUUCCGAUCAGACUCGGUAUCCCGGUUCUACAAGACAUUUCGACAGGGUAAAACUAAACCAGCAACACCACCCAGAUGUGCCGACAAAUCCCGAUAGGAGCUGCACAUAUCUCGUUCUCAGGGCACACCGGAUGAGCAAGACGUCGGGUAAGCCAGCCCAGAGUUGCCCCUGUUAGCCUCGGACAUCGCUCAGUUGGACCAACACUCAGAGGAGCACUGGCCCGGGGGGGUAAAAUAAUGAUGACCCUCAGGAGCGCGACUCCCAAGGGAAAAGAAAGGCUAGGUGGCAAAUGGUAAAACCAAUGUUGGGCAUUGCUGGAAGAGCUUUACUUAAGGCGAACUAUCAAGGGGUUCCCAUUAUUACCCAACCGCGUAAGGAACGCAAAAUCCGGGAACAUAACACCGAUAUGAUGGAAACUAGGGCGGCAAGAGUGGAACAAAACACCAGGCAUAAGGCCGAGCCUUCCACCCUUUACCAAGUAUAUAGAUGCAUUAAUUAAAUAAGAUAUAUUGUGAUAUCCCAACAAGUAAACAUGUUCCAAUAAGGAACAACAUCUCCAUGUUCCAAACAGGAACAAACUUCAAUCUUCACCUGCAACUAACAACGCUAUAAGAGGGGCUGAGCAAAGUUGUAACAUAGCCAAACAACGGUUUGCUAGGACAAGGUGGGUUAGAGGCUUGGUUCAACAAUAUGGGAGGCAUGAUAAGCAAGUGGUAGGUAUCACAGCAUAGGCAUAGCAAAAGAGCGAGCAUCUAGCAAGCAAAGAUAGAAGUGAUUUCAAGGGUAUGGUCAUCUUGCCUGAAAUCCCGCAAGGAAGAAGAACGAGUCCAUGAAGAAGACAAACGGACGUAGUCGAACGGGUCCUCACAAAUACGACGUUACCAGAACCAACCCGAAGAAGCAAACACCAGAAACAAGCACACAACAUAGUAAACAAACCACACAUGAACAUGGUAUGAUAUGCGGGAUGCGGGAUGCGAUGCAUAUGCAUGAUUUGCAAAGGAAUGCAUGAACCUGGCCUCAACAUGGAAAUCCAAGUGUGCCACUGGAAAGAUAAGAUGAAAUCGCUUGAAAACAAUAUAAAGAACACCGGAAUCGGAGUUACGGUUUGGAAAUGGCAAGCAAUUCAAAUAUGACACCGGUCUACGAUUUACAACAAGUAGCCAACUAAAUGCAACAAGAUGAACAUGCUACAGCACUCAAACAUGAAAAAAAAA